Molecule: ribosomal RNA, 717 nt
Filed under: uncultured Salinivibrio sp.
Lineage: Bacteria; Pseudomonadati; Pseudomonadota; Gammaproteobacteria; Vibrionales; Vibrionaceae
Description: bacterial SSU rRNA
Rfam family: Bacterial small subunit ribosomal RNA
Source: RNAcentral
AAAGCCCGGGGCUCAACCUCGGAACCGCAUUUGAAACUGGCAGGCUAGAGUCUUGUAGAGGGGGGUAGAAUUUCAGGUGUAGCGGUGAAAUGCGUAGAGAUCUGAAGGAAUACCAGUGGCGAAGGCGGCCCCCUGGACAAAGACUGACGCUCAGAUGCGAAAGCGUGGGUAGCAAACAGGAUUAGAUACCCUGGUAGUCCACGCCGUAAACGCUGUCUACUUGGAGGUUGAGGUUUAAGACUUUGGCUUUCGGCGCUAACGCAUUAAGUAGACCGCCUGGGGAGUACGGCCGCAAGGUUAAAACUCAAAUGAAUUGACGGGGGCCCGCACAAGCGGUGGAGCAUGUGGUUUAAUUCGAUGCAACGCGAAGAACCUUACCUACUCUUGACAUCCAGAGAACUUUCCAGAGAUGGAUUGGUGCCUUCGGGAACUCUGAGACAGGUGCUGCAUGGCUGUCGUCAGCUUGUGUUGUGAAAUGUUGGGUUAAGUCCCGCAACGAGCGCAACCCUUAUCCUUGUUUGCCAGCACGUAAUGGUGGGAACUCCAGGGAGACUGCCGGUGAUAAACCGGAGGAAGGUGGGGACGACGUCAAGUCAUCAUGGCCCUUACGAGUAGGGCUACACACGUGCUACAAUGGCAGAUACAGAGGGCAGCGAAGCUGCGAAGUGGAGCGAAUCCCUUAAAGUUUGUCGUAGUCCGGAUUGGAGUCUGCAACUC